AUUUAUAUAGUUUAAAAAAAAAAACUUUACAUUUUCAAUGUAAAAAUAAAAUUUCAUAUUUUUAUAAAUA
This 70-nucleotide transfer RNA is filed under the name Appias lalage. RNAcentral describes it as "tRNA-Glu". Lineage: Eukaryota; Metazoa; Arthropoda; Insecta; Lepidoptera; Pieridae. The record is from RNAcentral.